AUUGGUUGUAUUUUGGCACUAAAACUUUGUUCAACUGAAACUUACCUACAUUCCUUCUAUGAAAGCUAAACUCACAAUGCCUAUUUUCCUUCUUACUUUUACUUAGCUUAAAACCCUUACUCUCAAGAGUUAUUCUUUGCAGCUCUAACUUUUGGUUUACUCUUUCGCUAGUUUCAUCUACUAGGACAACAAUAUUUGCAAAUAGCAUGCACCAUGGGACAUCACCUUGAACAUGACUGGUUAGCUCACACAUAACUAAGUUAAACAGGUACAGACUCAAAGUCAUCCUUUAUAUAAAUACACUGUUAUAGAGAAUUGGUCUGUAUCCCUUCCCAUUGUCCUUAUACUUGUGAUCGCCCCUCAUAAAUGUCCUUAAUGACAUUUGUAUAUUUAAGAUGGACUUUUUCUUUUGUAGCACUCACCAAAGAACUUCCCUCGGUAGUCUAUAAUAUAGCUUUUCUUGUUGAAUGAAUAGCAUGUGGAGAUCCUUAUUCCUCUCCUUGUAAGUUUCCAUUAAUCUUCUUAACAGAUAGAUAGAUUUUGUUGUAGAUCUACUAGGUGUA
This 563-nucleotide unclassified non-coding RNA is filed under the name Hevea brasiliensis (rubber tree). The record is from RNAcentral. Lineage: Eukaryota; Viridiplantae; Streptophyta; Magnoliopsida; Malpighiales; Euphorbiaceae.